This is a long non-coding RNA of Hippocampus zosterae (dwarf seahorse), 417 nucleotides long. RefSeq lists it as uncharacterized. The record is from RefSeq and is a predicted model, not a curated record. The transcript has 3 exons. NCBI's taxonomy places the organism in Eukaryota, Metazoa, Chordata, Actinopteri, Syngnathiformes, Syngnathidae.
UUUACUGUACAUGAGUGCCGGCCGUGCUGUCGCCAGAGGCAGCAGGGGGCCAAGAGACAGGACAGGUUGCAGCUUGGUGCCAUCAGGCUAAAGGCUAAAGGCUAAAGGGGCUCAAAGACUGUAAUCCCCGGAUGAUGAAACCAUCAUGGCUGCCACUCGCUGAGCUGUCAAGCUCUCGACAAAAGAAAAGAAACAGCCGUGUGACCGCAAGUGGAGCUGCACUGACGCUGCGCCGGUGCUAACACGCUCAGCGGCUUUAAACCUGAAUGCUCAUGGAUUUGUUGGAUAUUUGCAAAGUUACCCCUGCUGCAAAUAAAAAAACGUGCGCACGCAAGAAGAAUAGAGUUUGGCAAAAACGGCUCCGCCGAAGGAAACGUUCAACUCAGCUCCCAACUAUGCAACGUGAAGCCAAAAAUG